UGAGGAAUAUUGGUCAAUGGACGGGAGUCUGAACCAGCCAAGUAGCGUGCAGGAUGACGGCCCUAUGGGUUGUAAACUGCUUUUAUAGGGGGAUAAAGUGUGCCACGUGUGGCAUAUUGCAGGUACCCUAUGAAUAAGGACCGGCUAAUUCCGUGCCAGCAGCCGCGGUAAUACGGAAGGUCCGGGCGUUAUCCGGAUUUAUUGGGUUUAAAGGGAGCGUAGGCCGUAGUAUAAGCGUGUUGUGAAAUGUAGACGCUCAACGUCUGCACUGCAGUGCGAACUGGUUUCCUUGAGUACGCACAAAGUGGCGGAAUUCGUGGCGUAGCGGUGAAAUGCUUAGAUAUCACGAAGAACUCCGAUUGCGAAGGCAGCUCACUGGAGC
Molecule: ribosomal RNA, 382 nt
Filed under: uncultured Prevotella sp.
Lineage: Bacteria; Pseudomonadati; Bacteroidota; Bacteroidia; Bacteroidales; Prevotellaceae
Description: bacterial SSU rRNA
Rfam family: Bacterial small subunit ribosomal RNA
Source: RNAcentral